This 274-nucleotide ribosomal RNA is filed under the name uncultured bacterium. RNAcentral describes it as "partial 16S ribosomal RNA". It matches the Rfam family "Bacterial small subunit ribosomal RNA", at positions 523 to 796 of the family's 1533-position model. The record is from RNAcentral.
CUACGGAGGGUGCAAGCGUUAAUCGGAAUUACUGGGCGUAAAGCGCGCGUAGGCGGUUUAGUCAGUCAGAUGUGAAAGCCCCGGGCUCAACCUGGGAACUGCAUUUGAUACUGCUGAACUAGAGUAUGGUAGAGGGAAGUGGAAUUCCGGGUGUAGCGGUGAAAUGCGUAGAUAUCCGGAGGAACACCAGUGGCGAAGGCGACUUCCUGGACCAAUACUGACGCUGAGGUGCGAAAGCGUGGGUAGCAAACAGGAUUAGAAACCCUAGUAGUCC